AUUCCAAUCGAACUCGGAGAUAGCUGGUUCUCCUCGAAAUAGCUUUAGGGCUAGCCUUGAGGUAAAGUCUAAUGGAGGUAAAGCACUGAUUGGACGCGGGUCCCCAAAAGGAUACCAACUUCUAUCAAACUCAGAAUGCCAUAUAGAUAUACUCAGGAGUCAGACUAUGUGAGAUAAGUUUCAUAGUCAAAAGGGAAAGAGCCCAGACCGACAGCUAAGGUCCCAAAGUGUGUGUUAAGUGGAAAAGGAUGUUAGGUUUCUAAGACAACUAGGAUGUUGGCUCAGAAGCAGCCACUCAUUUAAAGAGUGCGUAACAGCUCACUAGUCGAGAGGUCUAGCGCCGAAAAUGUCCGGGGCUAAAACACACCACCGAAGCUACGGAAUUACCUAUGGUAAUUGGUAGAGGAGCAUUCUGUAAGGAUGAAGCACAAUUGAAAGAGAGUGUGGACGAAACAGAAGAGAGAAUGCCGGAAUGAGUAGCGAGAUAUAUGUGAGAAUCAUAUAGGUCGAAUGUCUAAGGUUUCCUGGGUAAAGCUGAUCUGCUCAGGGUAAGUCGGGACCUAAGGUGAGGGCGAGAGCCGUAAUCGAUGGACAACAGGUAGAAAUUCCUGUACUACGUAUAAUCAGAACUGUGGGGACGCAGGAGGAUAGGAAAACCGGAGAAUGGAAAAAUCCGGCUAAGUACAAAGGUGUGAGUGAUAGGCAAAUCCGUCACUAUUAGCUGAAGUACGAAUGGGAGCGAAGAAAAGUAGCGAAGUUUCUGAAUCCACACUGUCAAGAAAAGCCGCUAUUGCGUUAUACGUACCCGUACCGCAAACCGACACAGGUAGACGAGGAGAAAAUCCACAGACCGACGGGAGAAGUGUUGUUAAGGAACUCGGCAAAAUGACCCCGUAACUUAGGGAUAAGGGGAGCCAACGCAAGUUGGUCACAGAAAAGAGGCUCAAGCGACUGUUUAGCAAAAACAUAGGUCUAUGCGAAACCGUAAGGUGAUGUAUAUGGGCUGACACCUGCCCGGUGCUGGAAGGUCAAAAGGAGAGGUUAGCGUAAGCGAAGCUUUGAAUUCAAGCCCCAGUAAACGGCGGCCGUAACUAUAACGGUCCUAAGGUAGCGAAAUUCCUUGUCAGGUAAGUUCUGACCCGCACGAAAGGUGUAACGAUUUGAGCACUGUCUCGACAACACGCCCGGUGAAAUUGAAGAACCAGUGAAGAUACUGGUUACCCGCAACAGGACGGAAAGACCCCAUGGAGCUUUACUGCAGCUUAAUAUUGGGAUUCGGUAUUGUAUGUACAGGAUAGGAGGGAGACUAAGAAGCUAGCACGCCAGUGUUGGUGGAGUCGAUGGUGGGAUACCUCUCUUAUAAUACUGAAUUUCUAACCUACUUCCGUGAUCCGGAAGAGGGACAUUGUUAGGCGGGCAGUUUGACUGGGGCGGUCGCCUCCGAAAGAGUAACGGAGGCGCUCAAAGGUCUUCUCAGAAUGAUUGGAAACCAUUCAAAGAGUGUAAAGGCAAAAGAAGGCUUGACUGCGAGAGUGACAACUCGAGCAGGUACGAAAGUAGGACUUAGUGAUCCGGUGGUAACAAGUGGGAGUGCCAUCGCUUAACGGAUAAAAGCUACCCUGGGGAUAACAGGCUUAUCUCCCCCAAGAGUUCACAU
RNAcentral lists this ribosomal RNA (1657 nucleotides) under human gut metagenome. Its description in RNAcentral is "bacterial LSU rRNA". It matches the Rfam family "Bacterial large subunit ribosomal RNA", at positions 826 to 2505 of the family's 2925-position model. The record is from RNAcentral.